Molecule: ribosomal RNA, 465 nt
Filed under: uncultured bacterium
Lineage: Bacteria
Description: partial 16S ribosomal RNA
Rfam family: Bacterial small subunit ribosomal RNA
Source: RNAcentral
CCUACGGGAGGCAGCAGUGGGGAAUAUUGCGCAAUGGGCGAAAGCCUGACGCAGCGAUGCCGCGUGAGGGAUGAAGGUCUUCGGAUCGUAAACCUCUGUCAGCAGGGAAGCACGGUCACUGUGCUAAUCAGCAGUGAAUUGACGGUACCUGCAAAGGAAGCACCGGCUAACUCCGUGCCAGCAGCCGCGGUAAUACGGAGGGUGCGAGCGUUAAUCGGAAUUACUGGGCGUAAAGCGCUCGUAGGCGGUAUGUCAAGUCAAGGGUGAAAUCCCCGCGCUCAACGUGGGAACUGCCGUUGAAACUGGCAAACUGGAGUGUGCGAGAGGAUAGCGGAAUUCCAGGUGUAGGAGUGAAAUGCGUAGAUAUCUGGAGGAACAUCAGUGGCGAAGGCGACUAUCUGGCACAUAACUGACGCUGAGGAGCGAAAGCGUGGGUAGCAAACAGGAUUAGAUACCACAGUAGUC